This 2622-nucleotide unclassified non-coding RNA is filed under the name Leishmania donovani. RNAcentral's name for it is "gene:unknown". The record is from RNAcentral. Lineage: Eukaryota; Euglenozoa; Kinetoplastea; Trypanosomatida; Trypanosomatidae.
CAGCGCCGCACACCCUAUCAACCAAUGAGCCACGCACUCCAAUCAUGUUUUGUAUUGUUUUCUUUUCUUGCCCGCCUCUUUUUUUUCCUCUCGGAAAAGGAGGCAUCGCCGCUGGUGGCCUCACGCCCUUCUCGGUUGCUGCUUCCUCGCGUUUCCUUUUGCCGUUGUUUUCUUGGGCUGCCACCCUCCCCCUUUUUUAUACAUAUGUAUGUGUCUGUGUGUGUGUGCGCGCGUGUGCGUCGUUUCUUCACCUCUGAUGACGGUGUCUCUCUUUCUCUCCUUCCACUUCUCUUUUCGUCUCCUUUCCCUCAGUGCACUUGUCUACCUGCGUCUCUGCUCACCCCCUCCCUCUGUGUCUCUCUGCUGCCGCUGCUGUGUUGUGAGUGAGGCUUUUGGCGCCGCCUUGUCGCCGCGGCUCACUGGGUACGGCGUAUGUAUGAGAAAACAUCAAGAAAGGGGAGGGUAGGCCACCUCCGUCUUUUGCCACCUGAGCCGCCCCAAACAACCUGAUGACGGGGGGACGCCUCACAGUUCGUGGUGCAUCUCUGGAUCCAGCACCCCCUCCACUCUAUGUGUUUGUGCGGAACGCCUAGCAGCCCCCUCCCCCUUACCCCUGCCAAUGCCGAGCCACCUCCGGCGCUGACGGGGUCAAGCACCUACGACGUGGCGAAGUCAGUGCGAUGCAUUGCUACUGAUGCCGGCAGUCAGAUCCUGGAUGGCACUGCGUCGGAGCGACCUGCGGCAGCGAACACGCUUGUACGAAUCCACACCAUGAGCAGGGUGUCGACGCGACUCGAACGCAUCUCACCCGGCCCACACACAGCCUACUGGUGGGGAGCCUGAGUGCCACCGCGAGGGAGAUGCAGCACGUGGCGGCCGGCAUACUGUGAGCGGCUGCGAGGCGACCUGCGCAGCGGGUGGGUAACGUUCGAGCCAGGGGCCGUGCUCAGGUGGCUGAGUCGGCAUUGCUGUACCACGUGUCUACAGCUGCGCUGCACCACGCGAUGGGGCCUGUGACAGGUCGGCUACAGUAGAGUCGACUUCAUGUUGUAUGGCAGAGUGGGCAACUUGAGGGACAGCAAGAGCAAAAAAAAAGAAAGAAACGCCCCUAUGCGCGCAUCGACAGAAAGCGCAGCACACACAAGGUCAACGUAUGUGGCAGAGAAACAGGCUGCGUCUGUGCAAGAGGCAGUGCGAAAUUCGACACAACAAUCCUUUCGCGGGGGGUGGGCGCUCGAGCCUUCCCUGUAGGGCAGUCCUUGAACUCACGCAUACUCGCACACACACACACACACACACACACACACAGGAAAGAGAAGCAGGGAAGCAAAAAACAACUACACGAACGUGUCUGCGCAAACAAGGAAAAGCGAAGUUGUGGUGAUGCGCGCUUUUAGUGAGUGGGGUUUAACUUUUCGUGGCCACACACCCUCGAGAAUGUUUGCUGCCGUGCCGUCGCGAUGGUGGCGAGGGGGAGGGCAAGUUUUGGCUGCACGGGGAUUCAUUGAGAAGCAAUCGUCUUCCAGCUAAGAGCAUGCAUGUGAGCUUCAGUACAUGUGCUUCUUGCGGCUGCUUAGCUUAUGGGGGAAUUGGAGUAUGGACUGGCUGAAGUCGCUGGGGGUGAUGCCCGUGAUGUAUGCGGAAGCCUGCAUUUUUCGCACACGCGCAACCUCUCAAGAUACAUGUGCGCACCCAUGGAGGCAACUUGCGCGUGCUAUUCACUAAGCAACACAGCACCAAAACGGGCUUGAAAUGCAGAACUCUCGCGCACAUCCGCGUCUGCAGCGUUUGGAUUCUAGUGGGCGAAGCUCGAUGGGGCCAUGAGGAGGGCGUGUGCAUGCGUGCGCGCGUGUGUCUGGGUGGGCGUGACGGCGGGGUAAGGAUGUAGGAGGAGGAGAAAAGAAGAACAGGAAGGCAGCUCGCGAGUAAAGCUCGAAAGCAACGAGCAGUACAGGUACGCCUGUUGACGUGCAUCGCAUCCUGGCUCUCUGAUGUUCCCUUCGACAUCUCGGGCUUCUCCCUGCCAAGCUCCUCCUCCUCUCGCCUUUGCCUCACUCGCUGAAUAUAUGGAUGACGCUCGGCCACGUGGUAGCUGCACGUAGCGUGCGCGCCCAUGACCUUGCCACUACUGUGGGAUGGCGUGGCUGACGGCGGAGAACAUGCCGCCGCGCUGCUUGCAGAACGUGCUAGAGGUUCGAACACCUGACCUUCACGAUCGCCCUCUCCCAUGACGCGUUCGAUUUGGUGCCCCGUCUCACCGCCUAUUUGACGCGACCCUCAUCCCUUUCGUAUGUGCUGCUUCACCGCCUCUCUCGCAUCCUUCGCUUUUUCGUUUGCUCCUCCUUCUCUCGCUUCUGCUCUCGCUUUGGCCUCUCCUGUUGCGCCGCGGUCGCUGUCCGGACAACGGUGCCGCCAUGUAACUCUCGCCCUGCCAUCUGCAUCGAUUGCUCCCCCUUCUCCAUCGUACUGCUUUCGCCAACGCGCGCGGCGGUUCUUUACGGCAUGCCUCCGACUAUUCGCUCGCACUGCCGUUUGCAUACACAUUUGCGUCUUAUCUCGCCUUCCCCCUCCCCGUCUCUCCGCCGCGGUCGCUUCGCACUUUGUCUGUGGGUUUUGCCGCAG